Molecule: ribosomal RNA, 280 nt
Filed under: uncultured bacterium
Lineage: Bacteria
Description: partial small subunit ribosomal RNA
Rfam family: Bacterial small subunit ribosomal RNA
Source: RNAcentral
AGAAUCAACGCUGGCGGCGUGCCUCAGACAUGCAAGUCGAACGCGAAAGUCCCCUUCGGGGGAUGAUUAGAGUGGCGUCCGGGUGAGUAACACGUGGGUAAUCUACCUUCGGGUGGGGAAUAACAGUCGGAAACGACUGCUAAUGCCGCAUAAUGCAGCGGCACCUAAUGGUGACAGUUGUUAAAGCGGGGUUAGUCGCAAGACCCCUCGCGCCUGAAGAGGAGCCCGCGGCGGAUUAGCUAGUUGGCAGGGUAACGGCCUACCAAGGCGACGAUCCGUA